Molecule: long non-coding RNA, 712 nt
Organism: Stomoxys calcitrans (stable fly)
Lineage: Eukaryota; Metazoa; Arthropoda; Insecta; Diptera; Muscidae
Exons: 2
Source: RefSeq, a predicted model, not a curated record
UACUGUCAAGGCGUAAGAAAUUUUUCGGAAAGAAAAAAGAAAAUAAUUAUUCUUUCUGUGAAUUUUCAAAUAUUUUAUAAAAAUUUCAAAUUCAAGGAAAAUUCUCAAUUUCGUGGAAAAAGCAAGAGGCUGCCGAUUCUGUGGAGAAUUGGCACAUUCUACAUCCAUCUUAACGUCUUUGAUUUUCAAAGGACUUUAUGCUGCUGAUUUUGUACGGCCGCUGGAAUUUUUAAAGGAUUAUUUCAUCCAUCAAUUAAGAAGUCAUUAAAAACAAACACGGAUUUGUCAAAUUUUAAUUCUGACCCGGAUUUGAGCAAUUUUUAUAAAAAAAAAACCAGACACAACAAAAAGGAAUUAUCGUUUAGAGUCCCGCUAAAGCGGAGAUUCCAUUUAUAAUGGCGAUUUCUUAGGGAGAACAUUCAUGAAAGCUUUUGGCCCAAAAUGAUGUUCUCCAAGAAUUAAACGGAAUUUUGUAACCAUACUUACAUGAUGACCAUAAAGAAGACAAACCUCUAAUUUUAAUUUACAUCCUAAAAUAUUUUUUUUUUUUUAGAAAAUCAAUACACUUUAUUUUAACCAGGCGUUUUGCAAACUUGAAUUAUAAAUUAAUAAUUACAGCCGCAGUUUAAUGUGUGAUUCCCAGUCAUCAGGCCUGCUAAAACAAUUUUAAUUAAAUAAUCUUAUAACAUUUGUUCCUUAUUCUUAUAACAUA